Non-coding RNA from Fukomys damarensis (Damara mole-rat), 101 nucleotides. NCBI's taxonomy places the organism in Eukaryota, Metazoa, Chordata, Mammalia, Rodentia, Bathyergidae. The record is from Rfam.
AUCUCUUAGUUCAUGAGUGUAAUGAUUGAGUGUUCAUGCCAUUGUGUGAGAUGUCCUUCCUUCAGACCUUGUUAUGACAUUGGCACAUCAGUCAUCCAUCA